GGGCCGUUAGCUCAAUGGUAGAGCAGCUGACUCUUAAUCAGUAGGUUCGGGGUUCGAGUCCCUGACGGCCCACCA
Molecule: transfer RNA, 75 nt
Filed under: Klebsiella variicola
Lineage: Bacteria; Pseudomonadati; Pseudomonadota; Gammaproteobacteria; Enterobacterales; Enterobacteriaceae
Also listed under: 14 other names
Description: tRNA-Lys
Rfam family: tRNA
About the family: Transfer RNA (tRNA) molecules are approximately 80 nucleotides in length. Their secondary structure includes four short double-helical elements and three loops (D, anti-codon, and T loops). Further hydrogen bonds mediate the characteristic L-shaped molecular structure. tRNAs have two regions of fundamental functional importance: the anti-codon, which is responsible for specific mRNA codon recognition, and the 3' end, to which the tRNAs corresponding amino acid is attached (by aminoacyl-tRNA synthetases). tRNAs cope with the degeneracy of the genetic code in two manners: having more than one tRNA (with a specific anti-codon) for a particular amino acid; and 'wobble' base-pairing, i.e. permitting non-standard base-pairing at the 3rd anti-codon position.
Source: RNAcentral